Molecule: ribosomal RNA, 448 nt
Filed under: uncultured bacterium
Lineage: Bacteria
Description: bacterial SSU rRNA
Rfam family: Bacterial small subunit ribosomal RNA
Source: RNAcentral
UACCAGACUCCUACGGGAGGCAGCAGUGGGGGAUAUUGCACAAUGGGGGAAACCCUGAUGCAGCGACGCCGCGUGGGCGAAGAAGUAUUUCGGUAUGUAAAGCCCUCUCAGCAGGGAAGAAGAAAUGACGGUACCUGAGUAAGAAGCACCGGCUAAAUACGUGCCAGCAGCCGCGGUAAUACGUAUGGUGCAAGCGUUAUCCGGAUUUACUGGGUGUAAAGGGAGCGCAGGCGGCACGGCAAGCCUGAUGUGAAAGCCCGCGGCCCAACCGCGGGACUGCAUUGGGAACUGUGUAGCUGGAGUGUCGGAGAGGCAGGCGGAAUUCCUAGUGUAGCGGUGAAAUGCGUAGAUAUUAGGAGGAACACCAGUGGCGAAGGCGGCCUGCUGGACGAUGACUGACGUUGAGGCUCGAAAGCGUGGGGAGCAAACAGGAUUAGAUACCCGUGUA